AUUGAACGCUGGCGGCAUGCCUUACACAUGCAAGUCGAACGGCAGCGCGGACUUCGGUCUGGCGGCGAGUGGCGAACGGGUGAGUAAUACAUCGGAACGUACCCUGUUGUGGGGGAUAACUAGUCGAAAGAUUAGCUAAUACCGCAUACGACCUGAGGGUGAAAGUGGGGGAUCGCAAGGCCUCACGCAGCAGGAGCGGCCGAUGUCUGAUUAGCUAGUUGGUGGGGUAAAGGCCCACCAAGGCGACGAUCAGUAGCUGGUCUGAGAGGACAAUCAGCCACACUGGGACUGAGACACGGCCCAGACUCCUACGGGAGGCAGCAGUGGGGAAUUUUGGACAAUGGGGGCAACCCUGAUCCAGCAAUGCCGCGUGUGUGAAGAAGGCCUUCGGGUUGUAAAGCACUUUUGUCCGGAAAGAAAUCGCGCUGGUUAAUACCUGGCGUGGAUGACGGUACCGGAAGAAUAAGCACCGGCUAACUACGUG
Molecule: ribosomal RNA, 484 nt
Filed under: uncultured bacterium
Lineage: Bacteria
Description: partial 16S ribosomal RNA
Rfam family: Bacterial small subunit ribosomal RNA
Source: RNAcentral